GCUGGGUACAGUGGUGCACGCCUGUAAUCCUAGCCUCUUGGAGGCCGAGACAGGAGGAUCACAAGUUCAAAGACAGCCUCUGCAAUGGCAAGAUGCUAAGCAACUCAGUGAGACCCUGUCUCUA
Molecule: small RNA, 124 nt
Filed under: Marmota monax (woodchuck)
Lineage: Eukaryota; Metazoa; Chordata; Mammalia; Rodentia; Sciuridae
Source: RNAcentral